This 57-nucleotide ribosomal RNA is filed under the name Arion flagellus. Its description in RNAcentral is "partial 5.8S ribosomal RNA". It matches the Rfam family "5.8S ribosomal RNA", at positions 1 to 56 of the family's 154-position model. Rfam says of the family: 5.8S ribosomal RNA (5.8S rRNA) is a component of the large subunit of the eukaryotic ribosome. It is transcribed by RNA polymerase I as part of the 45S precursor that also contains 18S and 28S rRNA. Lineage: Eukaryota; Metazoa; Mollusca; Gastropoda; Stylommatophora; Arionidae. The record is from RNAcentral.
UAACUUUGUGCGGUGGAUCACUCGGCUCGUGCGUCGAUGAAGAGCGCAGCCAGCUGC